RNAcentral lists this unclassified non-coding RNA (591 nucleotides) under Hevea brasiliensis (rubber tree). The record is from RNAcentral. Lineage: Eukaryota; Viridiplantae; Streptophyta; Magnoliopsida; Malpighiales; Euphorbiaceae.
UUGCUUUCUUACACUUGCCAAUUUGUGGGCAAAUUUAGUUAGCAGCGAUCCUCCAAAUUUGCCAUGCAUACAUGUUGGCUGCUGAGAAUGUUGGGAUAAGUCGGAUGUCUUUUUAGCAGCUACUUACCUGUCAAAGAGCACAAGCUGAAUGAACUAAACCAUUUGUAACAAGCCCUGUGGAGCAUAAACCAUUUGUGAUAGCCUUCCUGGGCAUAAACCACAAGGUGCACCGCCACAGAUGGCACUCGGGGAUUUUAGAAUUACAGUAUGAAAACUGAAGAUGUAAAUGGCUGACCAGGCAAAAAGAAUCCAGGUUAACAUUUUUUUUUAAAUGUCUACUGGUUGCCAUUCAUUACAUGAGAUAUGUGACAUAGCAAUUGGAUGUAGAGUUAAGUUGUGAAACGGGUAUGUCAAAUACCAUCCAUAUACCUAGAAAUGGAUAGGAUUAUGACAUGCAUACGAUUGCUUCUUUCCAGAAUCCAUCCACGUUCGAUUCUUUCUUCUUUCAUCUCAUGUUUGAAUUGUACGUGAAGUUGUAAAGAAUUCUACUAUCAAUUUACCACAUUAUUUAGAGAAUGCAAAAUUUCUGGG